This is a long non-coding RNA of Gasterosteus aculeatus aculeatus (three-spined stickleback), 503 nucleotides long. The record is from Ensembl. Lineage: Eukaryota; Metazoa; Chordata; Actinopteri; Perciformes; Gasterosteidae.
GAAAGGACUGCGGCCUGAUCAUGCAGAGGUGCUUCCUAUUGCUCCAUUCAGAGGAACCAAGACCAGCCAGGACGAGGUUGUCCCCAAGAAGACAGGUGUGAUUGUCCAGAAGAUGUCUACCAUUACCAGCACACGUGUGUACUGAACAUCUUUGAGUUUGAAUGGGACUUGAUAAAAGCUGUGGAAGACGAGCAGCAGGGUGAUGGUCAUCUCUACCUCACCCAGAAAAUUCCUUUUUUCAAUUAGAAUAAACUACAAUGUUUCGGACUUCCUCGUGCAUCUACUUCACGACUCCUUUAAGAUGUAAAACUCAAGACUUCUGGACUUUUUUCAGAGAAAAAACACCAUCUUGUCUAUAAACAGUAAGUUAAUAACAAAUGUGGCUGAUCAAAUCUUCUCACUGUAGAUAUUCACAGACAGAAGAGAAUCCAUUUAAACAUGUUUCUUCAGUAUUUGUUGCCCAAUUGUUGAUUGAAGGUCAAGUUGGAUUUGGUCAAAUUGAU